GCUGAAUCAUCAAGACGCUCUACGGGAAUGUCACCGACAGUUUCAUGGGGUUUGGGGACAACUGAUGAAGACUGGAUAUCAAAACUCUAGGUUUGCCCAUCAAGUAGAGAGAUUUGCAUGCCUUUACAGCAGCCAAGUGACAAACUUGAGCCUAUAUUCCCCAGAUAAAUACUACAGGCCAAGUGAAGAUUUUAUGCCCCAUGAAUUUGGUAUCAUCCCUUUGUGAAAUUGUUAAAAAAUUCAAUCUCUGUCUCUAUAAAUUCCUCAAAACAGAGAAAUAUAUAAUUAGUUAACGUAGUACAUAGUUGCACU
RNAcentral lists this unclassified non-coding RNA (312 nucleotides) under Hevea brasiliensis (rubber tree). The record is from RNAcentral. Lineage: Eukaryota; Viridiplantae; Streptophyta; Magnoliopsida; Malpighiales; Euphorbiaceae.